RNAcentral lists this ribosomal RNA (232 nucleotides) under uncultured bacterium. Its description in RNAcentral is "partial 16S ribosomal RNA". It matches the Rfam family "Bacterial small subunit ribosomal RNA", at positions 99 to 334 of the family's 1533-position model. The record is from RNAcentral.
CGGACGGGUGAGUAACGUCUGGGAGACUGCCUGAUGGAGGGGGGUAACUACUGGAAACGGUAGCUAAUACCGCAUAACGUCGCAAGACCAAAGAGGGGGACCUUAGGGCCUCUUGCCAUCGGAUGUGCCCAGAUGGGAUUAGCUAGUAGGUGGGGUAACGGCUCACCUAGGCGACGAUCCCUAGCUGGUCUGAGAGGAUGACCAGCCACACUGGAACUGAGACACGGUCCAG